AUGUCGGAAGAAAUGACAAUGUUGGGACGAGCCGGUGUAGCUGGAGAUUCGUCGCACCCUCGACAUCAAGAGAUCUCUAUCGACCGUGGUCCGCAAACAUCGAUUGAUGAGUUGUUGAAGGUAAUAAAAGGAGCCAAUGGCAUGCCGGUGCUGUUUGUCCCCUCCAGUGACGGCCGGCUGGUGGCAGUAGCCGUAGACGGCGUUCAGAGUUUGAUGCCGGCCAAUGGCGACGGGAGCGAGUCUUAUGAGAAGAGGGAGCAUCAUUUCCGUUCAUGGUUAUUGCUCCUGACGUCACUUGUUGCCACCGUCACCUUCACCGCAGGGAUUACUCCACCCGGUGGUUUCUGGGCGGACGACAGCAACGGGCACGUCGCUGGUACCCCAAUUAUGCGAGACAAAUUUCGCAGGAGGUACUUCUUCUUUCAGUACUUCAACACAUGCGCCUUCUUCACGUCCUUGAUGAUCAUCGCGUCGCUCGCCUGGAACAGGAAUAACAAGAAGAUCAUGACUAUUCCUUUCGUAUGCCUUGUAGUAAUUUGUUUUCUGUGCCUGGGAUCUAGCUUUAUCAUCGGCACGUGGAACAGCAACCGUAGCCCCUUACAACUAGCGACUGUCGUUUUCAUCCUUGCCCUUAACAUUGUCUACCUGACGUGCCAUCACAUUACGGAAAAGUGUUCUGGUACGCUUCGGGGAUCCUCCUAA
This 702-nucleotide ribosomal RNA is filed under the name Triticum aestivum (bread wheat). RNAcentral describes it as "partial small subunit ribosomal RNA". The record is from RNAcentral. Lineage: Eukaryota; Viridiplantae; Streptophyta; Magnoliopsida; Poales; Poaceae.